Molecule: ribosomal RNA, 267 nt
Filed under: uncultured bacterium
Lineage: Bacteria
Description: partial 16S ribosomal RNA
Rfam family: Bacterial small subunit ribosomal RNA
Source: RNAcentral
CGUAAACAAAGGGAAGCGAAGGGGCGACCUGGAGCAAAUCUCAAAAAUAACGUCUCAGUUCGGACUGUAGUCUGCAACCCGACUACAUGAAGCUGGAAUCGCUAGUAAUCGCGAAUCAGAAUGUCGCGGUGAAUACGUUCCCGGGUCUUGUACACACCGCCCGUCACACCAUGGGAGUUGGUAAUGCCCGAAGUCAGUGACCCAACCGCAAGGAGGGAGCUGCCGAAGGCAGGACUGAUAACUGGGGUGAAGUCGUAACAAGGUAAC